AGAUAAUAAAACCCACAUUUCCAAAAGUCCAGAAACAGGGAUGUGCAGGUAUAGCACAGAUCAGACAACACAAUCAUCACAGCCCUGUAUUUAAAUGGAUCUAAGAUUAAUGAUCCUGCAACAUUAUACUGAUUCCCAGAAUUCUGGGCAAAUAAAAACUCUUAUAUUCAAAUUGUAUUAUGCAUUCUCAUGCUGUGAGCUGAUAUUAUCAUUCCAAAACACAAAAAUAAAUAAAUAAAUAAAUAAAUAAAUAAAUAAAUAAAUAAAUAAUAAAUUAAUAAUAAUAAUAAUAAUAAUAAUAAUAAUAAUAAUAAUAAUAAUAAUAAACUUGCCGUUAAUCAGAUGAUAAAUGAAGUCAGUUGGGGGAGAUUUACAGGGAGCUUCUUCUUACACAACUGGAUAAAGAUUUCAUGAGAGGAAGUCAGGUCAGUUACCAAACAUCAAGUGAUCUGGCUCACCAUUCAAAUAUGGUUUCUGUUUAAAUAAUGUGGGUUGAUUUGAGGAAAACAGGUCUAUUUUCUAGAUUCUAUUUCCAUCUCAGUGGGUUGAAUCUGUCUUGCUGUGAUUAAUAUGAAACACUAUGCUACAUCUUCGAGGAAGGAAACUUUGAGAAUUUCAAAGAGGACCUGCUCUAAUGGAUGAAUGAAUGUCUAAUUCUCUCUAUUUCUAUUGACUGUCUUAUUGUACAAUGUGCUGUAAAUAUCUUCUUGCCUGUUUUCCACUAACAGGUUGUUGGAGCAAGUGCCCAGUGCUGGAAACGACUAAUGAAGUGAGGUGAUGUGUGUUCAGCUGUCAGGGCAUCAGUUCCAGCACAUGCACCAGCACCAUUACAGCGGAAAGGGACUAUCUAUGGAUAUUUCAGUGGAAUACAGCCUGAGGCAUCUUUUCAGUGAUUUUCUCUGUGGAAAAAGAAACAGGCAAAUCAGGCCCAACAGCAUGUGGCAUUUGCAAAGAUAAGAGCAUUAUGUCAGCGUUUAGUCGGACAUUUAUCAGCCCUCUCAUCGGCCACAUGGGAAAGCUGCUCUCCAAACUGUUGUGAUGGACAGGCCUUUACCGCAGUGACAAAGACAAUGCUUUCUAUAUUUCUCUUAUUGUCAGAAAAAUGAAUCACAACACCUGUCAAUGAAUAACGUCGAAAUGUGGGCAAAUGGGUAAGCAUAUCUGCAGUAAAGGCUGUGUGCAGCUAUUGUUAGAGAUCCCAGGAUAGCAGUUGGGAUGUGAAAUGGAGUUAUACACAUUCAGCACACUGCUCUUUCUCUGGCAGCAUGAAUUCUGCAGUAAGCACACCAUUCUCAGCAUGUUUUCACAGUCCUUCCUGACCUCCAUCUCUUAGGACAUCAUUUGAGCACAUAUGUAAAUAAUGAUUUAUUUAUUGAAAGGUCAGAGUGCUUUUCACUAUACAAUCUCAGGACAGAUUUUAUCAGCACAACCAUUGUAUUCAAUAGAGAAUACUGAAUUGCACCCACCUAUCGAAACUGAGGAACUAAACAGCACUCCUCACAGAUUCUUCUGUGGUGACCUUCUCCGUAUAGAGUAAUGGAAACCUUGGUUGGUCUCUAUAGGCUGAAGCAGAGUGAACAAAACAUAUUGCAGUCAAUACUUACAAUACACUGGCAACAGUUGCUUGUGAAAGAUUCUUUGAGUGCCACAAACACAUCAUAUGAUGACAAACUGAAAAGUAAUUGGACAAUCCCUUCUAAUUAACUAGUCUGAUCACAUAGCUUAUAUUUCCAAAUAUGUUCAUACUUCU
This is a long non-coding RNA of Cyprinus carpio carpio, 1750 nucleotides long. The record is from Ensembl. NCBI's taxonomy places the organism in Eukaryota, Metazoa, Chordata, Actinopteri, Cypriniformes, Cyprinidae.